Molecule: ribosomal RNA, 301 nt
Filed under: uncultured bacterium
Lineage: Bacteria
Description: partial 16S ribosomal RNA
Rfam family: Bacterial small subunit ribosomal RNA
Source: RNAcentral
CAGUAGCCGCGGUAAUACGUAGGGUGCAAGCGUUAAUCGGAAUUACUGGGCGUAAAGCGUGCGCAGGCGGUUUGUUAAGACAGACGUGAAAUCCCCGGGCUCAACCUGGGAACUGCAUUUGUGACUGGCAAGCUAGAGUAUGGCAGAGGGGGGUGGAAUUCCGCGUGUAGCAGUGAAAUGCGUAGAUAUGCGGAGGAACACCGAUGGCGAAGGCAGCCCCCUGGGCCAAUACUGACGCUCAUGCACGAAAGCGUGGGGAGCAAACAGGAUUAGAUACCCGUGUAGUCCCUGUCUCUUAUAC